CUAGAGAUUAUGCUGAGUCAUAAAAACCAUCAUUGUAACUAUCAAAUUUCACUUUAAUAUCUAUUAACUUUUAAAUUCUAUUCUCUUUUACUUCUAUUUUAACAAUGUCUUCUAAAUUUCUGUGAGCAAAAAGAGUGAAUAAAUAAAAAGAAAAAUUUCAUAUGAAAAAAAAUAAUAGUAGUGAGGUAUGCCACUCCUAAAUCAUAUUUUUUUGUAACUGUAAUCUUAAGGAUAGGAAACAAUGUUUCCUACAUUUGAUAAUACAAAUAUACUCAUUUUUAAGUUUCUCCUCAUCUUUCCAUGUAUUUAUAUUUUGAAAACAAAAAUGGGUUCAUCUGCUGUUUACUGUUUUCCACUUAAUGUAGAAAUGGGCAUUCAUGUCAAUUAAUAAAAAUCAUCUGAUAAAGCCUACCAAGAACUUUGCUGCUGCAGUCACACAAAAUUAUGUUUAUUGAUUUGCAGAGGGAUAAAGUUUAGGUAAAAUUUUAAAUGAAACCAUGCUUUGAAAGACUGAAAGCAAAGCAGAGUUGUAUGUAAUAUUAAGUUAAUACCAACUCUGGUCUAAGUAGACUGGGAAUCCCUUCUGAAUGGUAAAGUUGAGAUAAAUGUAAAAUGUGUCUGAAACCAAACCUGGGUUGGAAAUAAGGACUGCUUUUUCUGGAAGUGGCCCAUAAAAGGGAAUACCACUCAGCUAUAAAAAGGAACGAACUAUAAAUACAUGGAGCAACAUGAAUGAAUCUCAAUUAUGCUGAAUGAAAGAAUCUAGGAUCUCUCCCUCACUGCCCCUCCCCCUCCAAAGAACAUAUUGUAUGUUUCCGUUUAUGUAAAAUUAGAACAUGCAAAAUAAUUAUUGGUGACAGAAAGCCAAUAAGUGGUUACUUGGGGAUGCAAGGUGAGAACAAAAAGGUGGGAGGGGGAGGUACUAGGAGUACCAGGAAACUUGGGAUGAUUAAUAUGUUCAUUAUCUUGAUUGUGGUGAUGAUUUUGAAGCCAGAAUUAAAAAAAAAACAGGUAGUCAGCCUAGAUUGAUAAAUCUGGCCAGAUUGUAGAAAACAGACUAAACCCGUUUGCGUCCAAAGGUUGGAAAUUGUGCCCUUGGGAGAUUGGCCUAUACUGCCCAUCCUAAAAGAAUUGUUAAUGAAGCAACUUCUGAGCAGACUGGAGUUGGAACUGCUAAUUAAUUCUCCCUAGGCCCCCUUUCCUACCCAGACCACUCCUCCCUGACCCCUCUACCUUUUGGCCAUCCCAUGCAGUAUCUCCUGGGCCUAGUCAUAGAUAUGCAGGAAGGAGAGAGAUAAGGGGGGAAGAAAACAGGAGAACAAAGGAAACCUAGGACAGAUAAAAAGGCAAAACACCCUCACUUCUGGGGAUACCAGCUAUGGUCCCCUUCUCCCUCCCAGGAGAAGUGACCCUUUUUAAAAUAAACCCUUUUUAAAUAAACCCUGCUUUAUAUGCUUGCCUCUCAGUGCUUCUCUAAUGUUAUACUUCAGUAUGUGAGGAAGCAGGACUCAUCACCAGUAACAGAUGGUAUCAAUUUUACAGGUGUAUAUGUAUUUUAAAACUUACCAAAGUACCAAAUUGUGUACUUUAAGUAUUAUAGUUUAUAUUAACUAUAUUUCAAAAAAGCAGUUCAAAAAAUUUUAAAAGUGAUUCAUAUGAGUUGGUGCUGAUGGGAUUUCAAACAAGUUAUUUUUGCUGAUACAUGAUUUUAAAGAACAUGAUUUCUCAACACUAUAACCUUGAUGUUAUAAUUAUAACCAAAGCAGGUUUUUUUUUAACAGUUU
This 1784-nucleotide long non-coding RNA is filed under the name Marmota monax (woodchuck). Lineage: Eukaryota; Metazoa; Chordata; Mammalia; Rodentia; Sciuridae. The record is from RNAcentral.